RNAcentral lists this ribosomal RNA (511 nucleotides) under uncultured bacterium. Its description in RNAcentral is "bacterial SSU rRNA". It matches the Rfam family "Bacterial small subunit ribosomal RNA", at positions 1 to 503 of the family's 1533-position model. The record is from RNAcentral.
GCCCUUAGAGUUUGAUCCUGGCUCAGAGUGAACGCUGGCGGCAGGCCUAACACAUGCAAGUCGAACGGCAGCACAGAGGAGCUUGCUCCUUGGGUGGCGAGUGGCGGACGGGUGAGGAAUACGUCGGAAUCUGCCUAUUUGUGGGGGAUAACGUAGGGAAACUUACGCUAAUACCGCAUACGACCUACGGGUGAAAGUGGGGGACCGCAAGGCCUCACGCAGAUAGAUGAGCCGACGUCGGAUUAGCUAGUUGGCGGGGUAAAGGCCCACCAAGGCGACGAUCCGUAGCUGGUCUGAGAGGAUGAUCAGCCACACUGGAACUGAGACACGGUCCAGACUCCUACGGGAGGCAGCAGUGGGGAAUAUUGGACAAUGGGCGCAAGCCUGAUCCAGCCAUGCCGCGUGUGUGAAGAAGGCCUUCGGGUUGUAAAGCACUUUUGUCCGGAAAGAAAAGCUUAGGGUUAAUAACCCUGAGUCAUGACGGUACCGGAAGAAUAAGCACGGCUACUUC